RNAcentral lists this ribosomal RNA (195 nucleotides) under Actinomadura viridis. Its description in RNAcentral is "partial 16S ribosomal RNA". It matches the Rfam family "Bacterial small subunit ribosomal RNA", at positions 366 to 573 of the family's 1533-position model. Lineage: Bacteria; Bacillati; Actinomycetota; Actinomycetes; Streptosporangiales; Thermomonosporaceae. The record is from RNAcentral.
GCGCAAUGGGCGGAAGCCUGACGCAGCGACGCCGCGUGAGGGAUGACGGCCUUCGGGUUGUAAACCUCUUUCAGCACCGACGAAGCUAACGUGACGGUAGGUGCAGAAGAAGCGCCGGCUAACUACGUGCCAGCAGCCGCGGUAAUACGUAGGGCGCAAGCGUUGUCCGGAAUUAUUGGGCGUAAAGAGCUCGUA